Molecule: ribosomal RNA, 253 nt
Filed under: uncultured bacterium
Lineage: Bacteria
Description: partial 16S ribosomal RNA
Rfam family: Bacterial small subunit ribosomal RNA
Source: RNAcentral
UACGAAGGGGGCUAGCGUUGCUCGGAAUCACUGGGCGUAAAGCGCACGUAGGCGGAUCUUUAAGUCAGGGGUGAAAUCCCAAGGCUCAACCUUGGAACUGCCUUUGAUACUGGGGAUCUCGAGUCCGGAGGAGGUGAGUGGAACUGCGAGUGUAGAGGUGAAAUUCGUAGAUAUUCGCAAGAACACCAGUGGCGAAGGCGGCUCACUGGUCCGGUACUGACGCUGAGGUGCGAAAGCGUGGGGAGCAAACAGG